GCCGAAGUGGUGGAAUUGGUAGACACGCUAGGUUCAGGGUCUAGUGGGGGUUCCCCCAUGGGAGUUCGAGUCUCCCCUUCGGCACCA
Molecule: transfer RNA, 87 nt
Filed under: Desulfovibrio sp.
Lineage: Bacteria; Pseudomonadati; Thermodesulfobacteriota; Desulfovibrionia; Desulfovibrionales; Desulfovibrionaceae
Also listed under: 4 other names
Description: tRNA-Leu
Rfam family: tRNA
About the family: Transfer RNA (tRNA) molecules are approximately 80 nucleotides in length. Their secondary structure includes four short double-helical elements and three loops (D, anti-codon, and T loops).
Source: RNAcentral